RNAcentral lists this transfer RNA (73 nucleotides) under Cricetulus griseus (Chinese hamster). It matches the Rfam family "tRNA". Rfam says of the family: Transfer RNA (tRNA) molecules are approximately 80 nucleotides in length. Their secondary structure includes four short double-helical elements and three loops (D, anti-codon, and T loops). Lineage: Eukaryota; Metazoa; Chordata; Mammalia; Rodentia; Cricetidae. The record is from Rfam by way of RNAcentral.
UGGGGUGUAGCUCAGUUGGUAGAGUGCUUGCCUAGCAUAGAGGAAGCAAGGAGUUUGAUUGUCAACACUCCAU